AUCCCAUGAUGUGGACAUAUUCUCAGUAGUUCUUUAAAUCUCUUGCAUGCUUCAUACAAGGAUUCGCCUUUAAAUUGUGUGAAUGAGGUGAUAUCGUUCCUCAUAAU
RNAcentral lists this small nucleolar RNA (107 nucleotides) under Theobroma cacao (cacao). Its description in RNAcentral is "Plant small nucleolar RNA R71". It matches the Rfam family "Plant small nucleolar RNA R71". Rfam says of the family: R71 is a member of the C/D box family of snoRNAs containing the C (UGAUGA) and D (CUGA) box motifs. Multiple nearly identical copies of this snoRNA have been identified in Arabidopsis, and it is thought to function as a 2'-O-ribose methylation guide for 18S ribosomal RNA. The record is from Rfam by way of RNAcentral. Lineage: Eukaryota; Viridiplantae; Streptophyta; Magnoliopsida; Malvales; Malvaceae.